Molecule: RNA transcript, 2194 nt
Organism: Nicotiana attenuata
Lineage: Eukaryota; Viridiplantae; Streptophyta; Magnoliopsida; Solanales; Solanaceae
Gene name: receptor homology region, transmembrane domain- and RING domain-containing protein 2-like
Exons: 5
Source: RefSeq, a predicted model, not a curated record
AAAUAAUCAUUAGAGCACAUAAAAGAGAGACACACAAUUUAUAUAUAGCGAAAAUAUUGAUUUUCUUACCUUUUAGAUUUAGAAUUCCUUCCAAAAAUUUCUCAUCUUUGCCCGCACAUACAUACAUAAAUACAUACAAGGAAAACCAAAAAAAUUAAAAUUCCUAUGGAAGCUGAUGUUUCUAAUCUCUCAGCAAUCUUGAGAGUGUAUCUUUUUUUUUUUUUGGGGUGAUAUUUCUUGAAAAUUGACAAAAGGGGUUGUUGUGAAUUUUAGUCUUCUCUUUUGUGAAUUUCCUUGAAAAUUAUUUAAAGGGGUUGUAGGGUUUUGAGAUUUGGGAAGUGGGAUGGUGAGUUUUUGGGUUUUUUUGUUCUUUAGUUUUGUGUCUUUAAUGCCUUCUGGAGCUCUUGGAAGUGUAAUUUUGAUUGGAAAAAACCUUACUUUGUCUUUUGACGACAUUGAAGCUAGUUUUGCUCCCUCACCAAAGGGUUCAGGCAAAUGUGGAACAUUGUAUGUGGCAGAGCCUUUGGAUGCAUGCUCAACCUUGACUAACAAGAUUGAACCGAUUAAUAACUUCACAAAAGAUCCAUUUGCGCUGAUAAUUAGGGGUGGAUGUAGCUUUGAGGAUAAAGUCAGAAAAGCACAAGCUGCAGGUUUUAAAGCAGCCAUUAUCUAUGACAAUGAAUAUGGUGUUAUCAUUCCAAUGGCAGGAACCUCUACUGGUGUGAAGAUACUCGCAGUGUUCGUUUCAAAAGCUUCUGGAGAAACACUCGCAAAGUAUGCUGGUGACACUGAUAUGGAAGUAUGGAUAAUCCCAAGCUUGGAAAACUCAGCUUGGUCAAUCAUGGCUACAUCGUUCAUUUCAUUACUUGCUAUGUCAGCCGUGCUUGGGAUGUGUUUCUUUGUUCGCCGACAUCAUAUACGAAGAGAGCGGCCCCGAGCCUCUCGUGUUCGUGAAUUUCAUGGGAUUAGUAGACGUUUGGUGAAAGCUAUGCCAAGUUUGAUAUUUACAUCAGUUGUUGAAGAUAAUUCUACAUCAGUAACAUGUGCUAUAUGCCUCGACGAUUAUAAUGUGGGAGAUAAGCUUAGAGUUCUUCCAUGCCGGCACAAAUUUCAUACCAAGUGUGUUGAUGCUUGGCUGACAUUAUGGAGAACCUUUUGCCCUGUUUGCAAACGGGAUGCAAGGACUAGCACUGGCGAACCAUCAGCAUCAGAAUCUACACCAUUGCUUUCUUCCAGUCUGCGAUCUGGAUCUUCAAUGUCAUCUCUAAGGUCAUCAUUAGCAUCAUCAGCAGUAAUACAUAUAGGCACAGGAGCAUCUCGAUCGCCUUCAUUUUCUCGUCCUCAAUCAAUCUCUAGCUCCCAUAACCAGCACUCUCUUUGGUCCUACCACCAGUCACCUCAUUUUGCUAUAAACCGAAGUUCACUCGACCUUCAAAAUGCAUCUUCGCAAAGAUCUGGUGCAUCUUACUUAAUUUCAUCUAACUCAUUGGGUUAUCCUUCUCUAUCACCUCUUAAUUCAAGAUAUGUGCCUGCAUAUAUUCCUAGUCCUAGCAAUCCCUCUUCGAGCUAUAUUGGAUCAGCAAGUCAGCAUCAUAACCCACUGCACCACAGUGAAUCAGUUACAAGCUUUUCACCAUUUGCAUCAGCUAACUCUCUUCCCGGAUGUGAGUCAUGAUUUAGUUGAUAGUUGGAAACACUAGUCGAAUUUGUGAAGCGGGGAACACGGUGGUUGGAUUGUUCUGACCACAAAUUACAGCUGAAGACAAUGGAAUUGAUUCGUAUUGGUUGCUGGGGCAUCUGGACUCAGGAAAUACAACAGGCUAUUACACAGUGGAGGGUUUACCCAGAGUGCUCAGAGGUUGUGGCAGAAGUUGUACCGGUUGCGGGUUUUCCUGGGGUUCCAAAAAUUAGCAAGUAGUUCUACUGGGUAAAACCUGAAUUAACCGUGGUGCACUUGCGGGAAACUCCUUGCCGAGGGCCUGUGCACUCCCGGGAUUAAUCGGGUCUCUUAGAGACUCGGACACCCGGUGCAAAUCAAAAAAAAAAAAAAAAAAAAAAAAUCGGAAAAUUCAUGAUAUUUGUGAAAAAGGUGUGACAUAACUUGUGGUUGAACUAAUUGCUUUUUAGUUAAGGCUUUCAAAGUCGUUAGCUCAAAUGCUGUGUGUGAGAAUUUGAAAUGAUGAAUUUUGCGUUA